RNAcentral lists this long non-coding RNA (398 nucleotides) under Marmota monax (woodchuck). Lineage: Eukaryota; Metazoa; Chordata; Mammalia; Rodentia; Sciuridae. The record is from RNAcentral.
GAAACCUUCUCCCAGCUCCAUCCCCAACCCUCAUUCCUAGACCUCUGUUUCCAGAAGAAUCUUUUCUACCUGGUUCCAAUCCCACACACUGAAGCAGUGAAAAGAUCAAAAAGAAGAUCACAGGAUAAGCCUUGCUUUAGCCAGAAGGCUUGAGGCCCAUCUCCAGGGAGCAUUUAAACAAGAGCUGGGAUCCCACCCUAGGAACAAAGCCCUCUCUCCUCCAAGACUUGGAGCCUGGCUUCAAGUCUGAGUUCUGUCCCUCUGUGGCCUUGGGUGGUUUCCUUACCAUCUCUGGGUCUCUGUUUCCUGAUUGUUAAAAUAAGACUGCUGGACUGGUACCUUCUGUCUGUGGCUUUCCAGGAUUCUGACCAACCUGGUUUGGCACCUCUUGGUGUUUG